Molecule: small nuclear RNA, 104 nt
Organism: Perognathus longimembris pacificus (Pacific pocket mouse)
Lineage: Eukaryota; Metazoa; Chordata; Mammalia; Rodentia; Heteromyidae
Source: RefSeq, a predicted model, not a curated record
UUUGGCGCAGGACAUACACUAAAAUAUAUGGCACGAUAUAGGGAAGAUGAGCUUGGCCCCUACAUAAGGAUUAAGUGCAAAUUUGUGAAGCAUUCCACAUGUUU